CCUACGGGAGGCUGCAGUAGGGAAUAUUGCUCAAUGGGGGAAACUCUGAAGCAGCAACGCCGCGUGGAGGAUGAAGGUUUUCGGAUUGUAAACUCCUUUUGUUAGAGAAGAUAAUGACGGUGUUUGCAAAGGAAGCACCGGCUAACUCCGUGCCAGCAGCCGCGGUACUACGGAGGGUGCGAGCGUUAAUCGGAAUGACUGGGCGUAAAGCGCGCGUAGGCGGUAUGUCAAGUCGAGGGUGAAAUCCCCGCGCUCAACCUGGGCACUGCCUUUGAAACUGGCAAACUGGAGUGUGUGAGAGGCUAGUGGAAUUCCAGGUGUAGGAGUGAAAUCCGUAGAUAUCUGGAGGAACAUCAGUGGCGAAGGCGACUAUCUGGCACAUAACUGACGCUGAGGAGCGAAAGCGUGGGUAGCAAACAGGAUUAGAUACCCUUGUAGUC
RNAcentral lists this ribosomal RNA (440 nucleotides) under uncultured bacterium. Its description in RNAcentral is "partial 16S ribosomal RNA". It matches the Rfam family "Bacterial small subunit ribosomal RNA", at positions 338 to 795 of the family's 1533-position model. The record is from RNAcentral.